UACGGAGGGUGCAAACGUUGCUCGGAAUCAUUGGGCGUAAAGCGCACGUAGGCGGCCUGUUAAGUCGGGUGUGAAAGCCCUGGGCUCAACCCAGGAAGUGCACUCGAAACUGGCGGGCUUGAAUAUGGAAGAGGGUCGCGGAAUUCCCGGUGUAGAGGUGAAAUUCGUAGAUAUCCGGAGGAACACCAAAGGCGAAGGCAGUGUCCUGGGGAGUACCUGACGCUCAGGUGCGAAAGCCAGGGGAGCGAACGGG
RNAcentral lists this ribosomal RNA (253 nucleotides) under uncultured bacterium. RNAcentral describes it as "partial 16S ribosomal RNA". It matches the Rfam family "Bacterial small subunit ribosomal RNA", at positions 524 to 776 of the family's 1533-position model. The record is from RNAcentral.